Molecule: long non-coding RNA, 894 nt
Filed under: Ananas comosus (pineapple)
Lineage: Eukaryota; Viridiplantae; Streptophyta; Magnoliopsida; Poales; Bromeliaceae
Description: long non-coding RNA (ACOM_LNC018889)
Source: RNAcentral
ACAAUUUGGUACUCGCGACUUUUUAUAAUUUGAUAGAAUUGCUGCAUAAGUAUAAUUUCUCUCUCAUGUAUUUUUAUUGAAAUAGGUAUUUGGUGCUUGGGAUAUCUAUAUAAAGUUAUUGGUUGAUAAAAGGCUCUAUAGUUGAUAUCCAAGAUUGUAAUUUCAAAUCUAAUUAUUUUAUAUUUUCAGCUAAACUUGCUUUUUAAAAAAUAAACAAAUUUCUAGCUAUAUUUAUUUUUUAAAAAAAUAAACGAAUCGAAUAGUAUAUUAUUUUUUAAAAAAAUAUUAAACUAUUUUACUAUAUUCUAACUCUUUAAGGUUUAUUUUGGCGUACUCUACUGUCCUACCCGGGGCAGAGCUCAUUUACUGUCCUACCCGGGGCAGAGCUCAUUAUAUAGAAGGCAAAAACGUAUGGAACUUGCUCUAAUUAUGGCCCAUUUAAUUUUUUAAAAAUUUAAUUUUAUCGUCUAACUAUUUAAUUUGUUUAAUUUGAAUUAAUCAACUUGGUUUUAAAUUUUAAAUAUAUUUUAUUUUUACAAAUUUAGUUAAUAUAUUUCAUGCAAAUCUUAUAUAUAUAUAUAUAUAUAUUUAUUAAAUUAAGUAAUUAGCUUAAGUUUUAAUAACAAAGUACUGUUGAUUUUAAAAGAUUAGACAGUAAAUUUAAAACUUUGAAAGACUGAGGAACCAAAUCAAAAUAGUUCAUAGCCCAGAUAUUUGUUUUAUAUAUUUUUACCGUACUAGAAAUAUUAUUCGCCUCGCAUGCUGUAUAUAUCCCAUAAUGUUUAUAUACCUCUAUCGUGGAAACGAUUCAAAAUCAAAAUUUGAUUUUAUUCAAUAUUAUUGUAUAAUAUUUAGAAUAUUCAAAUAUUAAAAAUAAAUAAACAAUACAAAUUU